Molecule: transfer RNA, 75 nt
Filed under: Nitrospiraceae bacterium
Lineage: Bacteria; Pseudomonadati; Nitrospirota; Nitrospiria; Nitrospirales; Nitrospiraceae
Description: tRNA-Phe
Rfam family: tRNA
About the family: Transfer RNA (tRNA) molecules are approximately 80 nucleotides in length. Their secondary structure includes four short double-helical elements and three loops (D, anti-codon, and T loops).
Source: RNAcentral
GCCGGAGUAGCUCAGUGGUAGAGCAUUCGCCUGAAGAGCGACGGGUCGUCAGUUCGAUUCUGACCUCCGGCACCA